CGCGGGGGGGAAUUCACUUCUCAGCAGUUUGAAGCUUUUCUGACUGAGAAAGGAAUUCAACACGAUUUGUCUAGUCCUCGCUCGCCAUGGCAGAAUGGACUUGCGGAACGGGCAAAUCAGACAUUGCUUCAAGGGUUAAAAACCUUGCUGCAUGAUGCCAAUCUUCCAGAGAGUUAUUGGGCCGAAUCUCUCUCGUGUUUUGUUUACAGUUACAAUCGCAGGUUAUCUUCAGCGAUUGGUUGUACCCCCCUAUGAGAAGAUGUUUGGCAAGAAGCCAUACAUCAAACACAUGAAGAUUUUUGGUUCUGACAUGUGGGUUCGCUCACCACAAAACUCCAAGUUAGACAAGCGUGGAUUGCAUGGUAUCUUUCUAGGUUAUCAGAAAGGGUCUUACAGAAUAAUGAUGACUGACUCUAAGACAAUUAAGCUCACGAGAAGUGUCGAGUACAAUGCAAAGUGGUGGGAGAAUGUGGGAAUUUUCCAAUGUUAUCCUGAUGACGGUGAUGAGACUGAGGAUAGUCAAAAGCAACCACAACAGCCCACACCCACUGAUGAAGGUUCUGAGUCUGAAUCUGAAACUGAAUCGGGUGAUUCAGAGGAUUUCGAGAGUGCGAAAGCCUCUAUGCGACCCUCUGAAAGCUCUGAUCAAGAAUUGGAGGAACCAUUGUUCACAAUAGGUCGUUUUUCUCCUAAGAAGGAAGAGGAGAGUGUUGAAGACUUAAGGCUAAUUCGUAGGUCACAGAGAGCCACAAAAGGCAAACCUCCAAAGAGAUUUGCUGAUGAGUUUGCUACGAUAGCAGUAACAGCUGUUAAAAGCUCCAAGAAGGUAUUUGAACCUUCAAGUUUCCAAGAAAUCCAGGGUUUGGAUUCAAAGGAAGCUGAGCCAUGGUUAAAUGCCAUGAAGGCUGAGCUUGAUUCCUUAGAAAGGAACAAAACAUGGGAGCUAGUUCCAGUAGUUCCAGGAAUGAAACUGCUUGGAAGCAAAUGGGUCUUCAAAGCGAAGACAGAUCAAAAUGGCAAGAUAGUCAGACACAAAGCCAGAUUGGUAGCCAGAGGUUUUGCACAGGUACCAGGUCAAGACUAUCACGAGACCUAUUCACCCACAGUGAGAUAUGAAAGCAUUAGGCUUAUGCUUAAGCUAGCUGCAGAGGAAAAUCUACACAUUAGUCACCAUGAUAUUAAUACAGCUUUUCUGUACGGAUCUCUAGAUGAAUCACUUUAUAUGCUUCCACCUGAUGGCGUACAGGUAAAACAGGGAUUUGUUUGUGCUCUGAAGAAAUCCCUUUAUGGUCUCAAACAAAGUGCACGGUGUUGGCACACAAAACUCACUGAAGUAUUGUUUUCUCUAGGUUUUCAGCAAGGGAAAGCUGAUCCAUGUGUAUUUGUCAAAGAGGAGGGGCAAAAGAAACUGUACUGUUUGUUUUAUGUUGAUGAUUUAUUAUUCUUUUGGAAAGAUGUUGCAAUGUACAAUAGCGCCCUAGCUCAACUGAAAGAGCACUUUGACAUGAAAGAUCUUGGUGAGGUAAACAACUACCUAUCUCUGGAAAUAGAGAGAGAUCAAGAUGGUAACAUUCUAGUACACCAGUCACGGAAAAUUGCUGAUGUGUUAAGCAAACUAAAUCUGAUGGAUGCUAACCCUGUAAACACACCGAUGACAACAGGUUAUCAGGUAGAUGACACUGAAGAAGCAUUUUCUGACACUACACUGUACAGGAGUGUGCUAGGCAAGCUAAACUUCAUUGCCAGAUGUUCAAGACCAGACAUUGCUGUUAGCUGUAAUUUGCUAAGCAGACAAGUCAACAAUCCUAGUGUCAAGCAUUGGAAAGCUCUGAAACGCAUAGCGCGGUAUUUGAAAGGCACUAUGCAUUACAGACUGAGAUUUAACAAUCAGAAGUCUGGUGGUCUUGAGAUAUUUGCAGAUGCAAGUUUUGGAAGUGACGCUACAGACAGGAAAGGUACGUCUGGAGUUUGCUACAUGUACAAUCAGAGUCUGUUUGAUUGGUCAUGCAAGAAGCAAACAACAGUUAGCUUAAGUACUUGUGAAGCCGAACUGAAUGCACUGUCUUAUUCACUUAAGGAUUGUGAAUGGUUAGUACAAUUGUGCAAAGAUAUGAAAAUUCCUGUCAAAUGUCCAAUCCAGGUUUACCAGGACAACAAAGCAUGUUUGGCUUUGCUGAAGUCUGAAGGUUGUAAGCAAAGCACAAAGCACUUGCAAUUAAAGUUGCAGCAUGCUAGGGAAUGUAUUCAGAAGGGACUCGUAACGGUGUCCUAUAUGCCAGGUAAUGAAAUUCCUGCUGAUGUAUUGUCCAAGAUUGUAUCGAGGGAUCAACACUGUACCUAUGUGCAGAAGUUGGGUUUGUACUGAUAUUGUACAAACACGCUGCCCAGUGAUGUUCACAGAAAGGGGGAGGAUGUUGGUUUCUGCUUUCCUUCACUGUGCAGCGAAAGGGCUUGUCACGAGAAAGGUGUUUACAUUCCACAGUCUGUACUGUUGGAGUUUCUCACGGGAAAGGGAGGCUGGAUGUGACGUACACUGGUUUCCUGUUUUUCACUGUGUGAUUCUCUCCGAGCUGUCGAGGAGAGAGGAUGCAUUUUCUGCUCCGGCAGAGGCAAGAUGUCUUUCUGUAAUAUACCAGCUUUGAACUGUAAAUAAAGCAAUAUAGAGUAUG
RNAcentral lists this long non-coding RNA (2669 nucleotides) under Podarcis lilfordi (Lilford's wall lizard). Lineage: Eukaryota; Metazoa; Chordata; Lepidosauria; Squamata; Lacertidae. The record is from RNAcentral.